Molecule: ribosomal RNA, 467 nt
Filed under: uncultured bacterium
Lineage: Bacteria
Description: partial 16S ribosomal RNA
Rfam family: Bacterial small subunit ribosomal RNA
Source: RNAcentral
GACGAACGCUGGCGGCGUGCUUAACACAUGCAAGUCGAACGGAAAGGCCCUGCUUUUGUGGGGUGCUCGAGUGGCGAACGGGUGAGUAACACGUGAGUAACCUGCCCUUGACUUUGGGAUAACUUCAGGAAACUGGGGCUAAUACCGGAUAGGAGCUCCUGCUGCAUGGUGGGGGUUGGAAAGUUUCGGCGGUUGGGGAUGGACUCGCGGCUUAUCAGCUUGUUGGUGGGGUAGUGGCUUACCAAGGCUUUGACGGGUAGCCGGCCUGGGAGGGUGACCGGCCACAUUGGGACGGGGAUACGGCCCAGACGCCUACGGGAGGCAGCAGUGGGGAAUAUUGCACAAUGGGCGGAAGCCUGAUGCAGCAACGCCGCGUGCGGGAUGACGGCCUUCGGGUUGUAAACCGCUUUCGCCUGUGACGAAGCGUGAGUGACGGUAAUGGGUAAAGAAGCACCGGCUAACUACGU